CCUACGGGAGGCAGCAGUGAGGAAUAUUGGUCAAUGGGCGCGAGCCUGAACCAGCCAAGUAGCGUGAAGGAUGACUGCCCUACGGGUUGUAAACUUCUUUUAUAAAGGAAUAAAGUGAGGCACGUGUGCCUUUUUGUAUGUACUUUAUGAAUAAGGAUCGGCGAACUCCGUGCCAGCAGCCGCGGUAAUACGGAGGAUCCGAGCGUUAUCCGGAUUUGUUGGGUUUAAAGGGAGCGUAGAUGGGUUGUUAAGUCAGUUGUGAAAGUUUGCGGCUCAACCGUAAAAUUGCAAUUGAUACUGGCAGUCUAGAGUACAGUUGAGGUAGGUGGAAUUCGUGGUGUAGCGGUGAAAUGCUUAGAGAUCACGAAGAAUUCUGAUUGCGAAGGCAGCUUACUAAACUGAGACUGACAUUGAUGCUCGAAAGUGUGGGUAUCAAACAGGAUUAGAUACCCUUGUAGUC
This 460-nucleotide ribosomal RNA is filed under the name uncultured bacterium. Its description in RNAcentral is "partial 16S ribosomal RNA". It matches the Rfam family "Bacterial small subunit ribosomal RNA", at positions 338 to 795 of the family's 1533-position model. The record is from RNAcentral.